RNAcentral lists this long non-coding RNA (250 nucleotides) under Gallus gallus (chicken). The record is from RNAcentral. Lineage: Eukaryota; Metazoa; Chordata; Aves; Galliformes; Phasianidae.
GGAGAGCGAGCGAGGUUUUGGGGAGCUGCCUUGAACUGGCAGCUUCGACCUUUUCUUCUCUGCAGGUGGAGAGAUUGAGAAUCUUCAAUUCUUCAGCUGAAAUCUUCCUUUCUUGUGCAUACCUCCUGGGCACUGAACCACACAAAAGCCUUGGAAAAGAAGUAUGUGAGUGUAAUUCAAAGAUGACAAUGAUACACACAUUGACUUACCUCAUCCCGAUGUACACAAAUCAGCAAAGCUUGGCAUAUCA